RNAcentral lists this ribosomal RNA (2548 nucleotides) under Escherichia coli. RNAcentral's name for it is "partial 23S ribosomal RNA". It matches the Rfam family "Bacterial large subunit ribosomal RNA", at positions 397 to 2925 of the family's 2925-position model. Lineage: Bacteria; Pseudomonadati; Pseudomonadota; Gammaproteobacteria; Enterobacterales; Enterobacteriaceae. The record is from RNAcentral.
CUGUGAGCUCGAUGAGUAGGGCGGGACACGUGGUAUCCUGUCUGAAUAUGGGGGGACCAUCCUCCAAGGCUAAAUACUCCUGACUGACCGAUAGUGAACCAGUACCGUGAGGGAAAGGCGAAAAGAACCCCGGCGAGGGGAGUGAAAAAGAACCUGAAACCGUGUACGUACAAGCAGUGGGAGCACGCUUAGGCGUGUGACUGCGUACCUUUUGUAUAAUGGGUCAGCGACUUAUAUUCUGUAGCAAGGUUAACCGAAUAGGGGAGCCGAAGGGAAACCGAGUCUUAACUGGGCGUUAAGUUGCAGGGUAUAGACCCGAAACCCGGUGAUCUAGCCAUGGGCAGGUUGAAGGUUGGGUAACACUAACUGGAGGACCGAACCGACUAAUGUUGAAAAAUUAGCGGAUGACUUGUGGCUGGGGGUGAAAGGCCAAUCAAACCGGGAGAUAGCUGGUUCUCCCCGAAAGCUAUUUAGGUAGCGCCUCGUGAAUUCAUCUCCGGGGGUAGAGCACUGUUUCGGCAAGGGGGUCAUCCCGACUUACCAACCCGAUGCAAACUGCGAAUACCGGAGAAUGUUAUCACGGGAGACACACGGCGGGUGCUAACGUCCGUCGUGAAGAGGGAAACAACCCAGACCGCCAGCUAAGGUCCCAAAGUCAUGGUUAAGUGGGAAACGAUGUGGGAAGGCCCAGACAGCCAGGAUGUUGGCUUAGAAGCAGCCAUCAUUUAAAGAAAGCGUAAUAGCUCACUGGUCGAGUCGGCCUGCGCGGAAGAUGUAACGGGGCUAAACCAUGCACCGAAGCUGCGGCAGCGACGCUUAUGCGUUGUUGGGUAGGGGAGCGUUCUGUAAGCCUGUGAAGGUGUGCUGUGAGGCAUGCUGGAGGUAUCAGAAGUGCGAAUGCUGACAUAAGUAACGAUAAAGCGGGUGAAAAGCCCGCUCGCCGGAAGACCAAGGGUUCCUGUCCAACGUUAAUCGGGGCAGGGUGAGUCGACCCCUAAGGCGAGGCCGAAAGGCGUAGUCGAUGGGAAACAGGUUAAUAUUCCUGUACUUGGUGUUACUGCGAAGGGGGGACGGAGAAGGCUAUGUUGGCCGGGCGACGGUUGUCCCGGUUUAAGCGUGUAGGCUGGUUUUCCAGGCAAAUCCGGAAAAUCAAGGCUGAGGCGUGAUGACGAGGCACUACGGUGCUGAAGCAACAAAUGCCCUGCUUCCAGGAAAAGCCUCUAAGCAUCAGGUAACAUCAAAUCGUACCCCAAACCGACACAGGUGGUCAGGUAGAGAAUACCAAGGCGCUUGAGAGAACUCGGGUGAAGGAACUAGGCAAAAUGGUGCCGUAACUUCGGGAGAAGGCACGCUGAUAUGUAGGUGAAGUCCCUCGCGGAUGGAGCUGAAAUCAGUCGAAGAUACCAGCUGGCUGCAACUGUUUAUUAAAAACACAGCACUGUGCAAACACGAAAGUGGACGUAUACGGUGUGACGCCUGCCCGGUGCCGGAAGGUUAAUUGAUGGGGUCAGCGCAAGCGAAGCUCUUGAUCGAAGCCCCGGUAAACGGCGGCCGUAACUAUAACGGUCCUAAGGUAGCGAAAUUCCUUGUCGGGUAAGUUCCGACCUGCACGAAUGGCGUAAUGAUGGCCAGGCUGUCUCCACCCGAGACUCAGUGAAAUUGAACUCGCUGUGAAGAUGCAGUGUACCCGCGGCAAGACGGAAAGACCCCGUGAACCUUUACUAUAGCUUGACACUGAACAUUGAGCCUUGAUGUGUAGGAUAGGUGGGAGGCUUAGAAGUGUGGACGCCAGUCUGCAUGGAGCCGACCUUGAAAUACCACCCUUUAAUGUUUGAUGUUCUAACGUUGACCCGUAAUCCGGGUUGCGGACAGUGUCUGGUGGGUAGUUUGACUGGGGCGGUCUCCUCCUAAAGAGUAACGGAGGAGCACGAAGGUUGGCUAAUCCUGGUCGGACAUCAGGAGGUUAGUGCAAUGGCAUAAGCCAGCUUGACUGCGAGCGUGACGGCGCGAGCAGGUGCGAAAGCAGGUCAUAGUGAUCCGGUGGUUCUGAAUGGAAGGGCCAUCGCUCAACGGAUAAAAGGUACUCCGGGGAUAACAGGCUGAUACCGCCCAAGAGUUCAUAUCGACGGCGGUGUUUGGCACCUCGAUGUCGGCUCAUCACAUCCUGGGGCUGAAGUAGGUCCCAAGGGUAUGGCUGUUCGCCAUUUAAAGUGGUACGCGAGCUGGGUUUAGAACGUCGUGAGACAGUUCGGUCCCUAUCUGCCGUGGGCGCUGGAGAACUGAGGGGGGCUGCUCCUAGUACGAGAGGACCGGAGUGGACGCAUCACUGGUGUUCGGGUUGUCAUGCCAAUGGCACUGCCCGGUAGCUAAAUGCGGAAGAGAUAAGUGCUGAAAGCAUCUAAGCACGAAACUUGCCCCGAGAUGAGUUCUCCCUGACUCCUUGAGAGUCCUGAAGGAACGUUGAAGACGACGACGUUGAUAGGCCGGGUGUGUAAGCGCAGCGAUGCGUUGAGCUAACCGGUACUAAUGAACCGUGAGGCUUAACCUU